GGCAGGAUGGCCGAGUUGGUUAUGGCGCCAGGUUAAGGUUUACCUUAAUACUAAUCUCCUGGUUCGGGAAACUGAGCGUGGGUUCAAGUCCCACUCCUGUCA
RNAcentral lists this transfer RNA (102 nucleotides) under Sphaerosporella brunnea. It matches the Rfam family "tRNA". From Rfam's summary of the family: Transfer RNA (tRNA) molecules are approximately 80 nucleotides in length. Their secondary structure includes four short double-helical elements and three loops (D, anti-codon, and T loops). Further hydrogen bonds mediate the characteristic L-shaped molecular structure. tRNAs have two regions of fundamental functional importance: the anti-codon, which is responsible for specific mRNA codon recognition, and the 3' end, to which the tRNAs corresponding amino acid is attached (by aminoacyl-tRNA synthetases). tRNAs cope with the degeneracy of the genetic code in two manners: having more than one tRNA (with a specific anti-codon) for a particular amino acid; and 'wobble' base-pairing, i.e. permitting non-standard base-pairing at the 3rd anti-codon position. Lineage: Eukaryota; Fungi; Ascomycota; Pezizomycetes; Pezizales; Pyronemataceae. The record is from Rfam by way of RNAcentral.